This is a long non-coding RNA of Poecilia latipinna (sailfin molly), 250 nucleotides long. RefSeq lists it as uncharacterized. The transcript has 3 exons. Lineage: Eukaryota; Metazoa; Chordata; Actinopteri; Cyprinodontiformes; Poeciliidae. The record is from RefSeq and is a predicted model, not a curated record.
GUCCGUCUGGAAGUUGCACUUUAACGUGAUCGUGUCACCGAUGACGACAGGUGGGAGGGGAUCCAUGGAAACAAUCAGGUAACCUGCAGGAAAGAUGGAUAUCAGCCGACAAUCCCAAAGACUGGCAACCUUUGGUGUCUUCACGGAUUUGCAGCGAACACUUCUAACCAGGCCGCUGAUGUUUCCUAUCCGGUCCAUGCGUGCGCCGAAGCAGCUGGAGGCCCGCUUCCUAAGGCUCAGCAGCAGGUCG